This 242-nucleotide ribosomal RNA is filed under the name uncultured prokaryote. Its description in RNAcentral is "partial 16S ribosomal RNA". It matches the Rfam family "Bacterial small subunit ribosomal RNA", at positions 524 to 765 of the family's 1533-position model. The record is from RNAcentral.
UACAGAGGUCCCGAGCGUUGUUCGGAUUCACUGGGCGUAAAGGGUGCGCAGGUGGCCGCGCAAGUUUGAUGUGAAAUCUCCGGGCUCAACCCGGAAAUGGCAUUGAAUACUGCGUGGCUGGAGGUUUGGAGGGGGGACUGGAAUUCUCGGUGUAGCAGUGAAAUGCGUAGAUAUCGAGAGGAACACCAGUGGCGAAGGCGAGUCCCUGGACAACACCUGACACUGAGGCACGAAAGCCAGGG